UGGGGAAUAUUGGACAAUGGGCGAAAGCCUGAUCCAGCCAUGCCGCGUGUGUGAAGAAGGUCUUCGGAUUGUAAAGCACUUUAAGUUGGGAGGAAGGGCAGUAAGCGAAUACCUUGCUGUUUUGACGUUACCGACAGAAUAAGCACCGGCUAACUCUGUGCCAGCAGCCGCGGUAAUACAGAGGGUGCAAGCGUUAAUCGGAAUUACUGGGCGUAAAGCGCGCGUAGGUGGUUCGUUAAGUUGAAUGUGAAAGCCCCGCGCUCAACCUGGGAACUGCAUCCAAAACUGGCGAGCUAGAGUAGGGCAGAGGGUGGUGGAAUUUCCUGUGUGGCGGUGAAAUGCGUAGAUAUAGGUAGGAACACCAGUGGCGAAGGCGACCACCUGGGCUCAUACUGACACUGAGGUGCGAAAGCGUGGGGAGCAAACAGG
This 429-nucleotide ribosomal RNA is filed under the name Pseudomonadota bacterium. RNAcentral's name for it is "Proteobacteria bacterium partial 16S ribosomal RNA". It matches the Rfam family "Bacterial small subunit ribosomal RNA", at positions 355 to 776 of the family's 1533-position model. The record is from RNAcentral. Lineage: Bacteria; Pseudomonadati; Pseudomonadota.